Molecule: unclassified non-coding RNA, 275 nt
Filed under: Basidiomycota sp.
Lineage: Eukaryota; Fungi; Basidiomycota
Description: partial contains small subunit ribosomal RNA, internal transcribed spacer 1, and 5.8S ribosomal RNA
Rfam family: Eukaryotic small subunit ribosomal RNA (bases 1-47)
Source: RNAcentral
AAAGUCGUAACAAGGUUUCCGUAGGUGAACCUGCGGAAGGAUCAUUAACGAGUUUACUGAGCUGUCGCUGCCCUCUCGGGGGAUGUGCACGCUCUUUCACUCAUCUAUACACCUGUGAACCUAUGCGAGUUUAAUGGGGGAUUAGCGAAAGGGCCGAAAGGUCUCGACUAGCGUUCUCUGUCGGCUCGAUUUUUUAUAAACUCUUGUAUGUCUUAGAAUGUCUACUUUGCUUAACGCAAUAAAUACAACUUUCAACAACGGAUCUCUUGGCUCUC